AUACUUACCUGGCAGGGGAGAUACCAUGAUCACGAAGGUAGUUUUCCUAGGGCGAGGCUUAUCCAUUGCACACAGGGUGUGCUGACCCCUGCAAUUUCCCCAAUUUGAUUGCAUAAUUUGUGGUAGCGGGGGACUGCGUUUGUGUUUUCCCCUG
Molecule: small nuclear RNA, 154 nt
Filed under: Saimiri boliviensis boliviensis (Bolivian squirrel monkey)
Lineage: Eukaryota; Metazoa; Chordata; Mammalia; Primates; Cebidae
Description: U1 spliceosomal RNA (ENSSBOG00000005587.1)
Rfam family: U1 spliceosomal RNA
About the family: U1 is a small nuclear RNA (snRNA) component of the spliceosome (involved in pre-mRNA splicing). Its 5' end forms complementary base pairs with the 5' splice junction, thus defining the 5' donor site of an intron.
Source: Rfam by way of RNAcentral